GUGACUUCUCUCGCUACUGAUCGAUGCUCUUCGGUGUGGAAGCGGAGUGAGUUCUCUCGCUGCUGAUCGACGCUCUUCGGACUCGGAUUUGUCCGCAGCAGUUGAUCUGCAUCGCUUUCUGGACACUGAAUCUGGAUUGUGGAUUAUGUCUGUGCUGGAUUAGAGACAGACCGCAGAAGGAGUUGUGGAUAUCCUCUCCAGUGGGAUGAUGAUGGCCCGUGCUCAACCUCUCCGCUGAUACUGGAAGGAGAUGAUUAUCUUACAUGACCUGUAACCUCUGUGUCACUUUGUAUGAUGCACAGUGGAGGAGUGGCUGAGCCCAGCUGGUGAACCCGUGGACCAGAAGCAAGUUCUGCUCUGUGCUCACCUGUUUGUCUGAAGAUGACCUGUUAAUUUUGUGGAGCUUUGUGUCUUUAAUGAUUCCAGUUCAACAAUGCUGAACUGAUGGAGAGACAUCAUCUGAACCCAACAAACCCAGUACUUUCUUUGGCAAACAAGGGACCUUUAAAAGGUUUUGGAAUUGAACUCUCAAGGAAACUUUACCAACUGUGUAAAUGUCAUCACAAAGGGUCCAGUCCAUUUGGUUGGGUGUUCAUCCAUGCUGCAGCAGUAUUUUACUUUCAUUCUUAAUGAGCUGCAGAUACUAAGAAACGAUAAUGUGUCGGGUCUUUGACACAGAGGAACAAUUAAACAUCAUUCUAAUGUGCAUGUAAACCUGAUUCCAGGCAGAACUUUUCCAACCAUCAUGGCUCUCAAUGCUGGCCGUGUAAUCUGACUAAUCCUGGCAAUGGUAGACAACUUGAUAGACCACUUUUACUGGAGUGAAGAAUUUGAAGGUCCAUUCUGAGCUGCAAAUCAUAAGUCAAAGAAGAAAAACCUCUCUCCCCCCCACUUCUAUAUGGUGGGGGGGAGAAUGAAGGUUAGAUUAGGGC
Molecule: long non-coding RNA, 932 nt
Organism: Thalassophryne amazonica
Lineage: Eukaryota; Metazoa; Chordata; Actinopteri; Batrachoidiformes; Batrachoididae
Exons: 2
Source: RefSeq, a predicted model, not a curated record